RNAcentral lists this ribosomal RNA (618 nucleotides) under Triticum aestivum (bread wheat). RNAcentral's name for it is "partial small subunit ribosomal RNA". The record is from RNAcentral. Lineage: Eukaryota; Viridiplantae; Streptophyta; Magnoliopsida; Poales; Poaceae.
AUGGAGGUAAUGUAUAUUGUAACAUCUAUGGGGAUGGAUAACACGGUUACCGUGAAUGACGAGAUAACUGCAUCUCACCAAGGAAAAGGACGACCAAACCAACUCAUCAUUCUAAGACAAUUUCUAUGUUGUCUUUCGCAGCUUGCAAGCUUUCUUUUGAUUUGUAACAUUAAUGAGGUCAUGAACCCUAGAUCUAGAUCGGUUGAGGGGAUUCUUGAAUCAAUUAUGAGCCGCCUCCAUUCCUUGCCGGUGCUACCACUUGAUGACGAGGACCUCCUUCAGGAGAUCUUCCUCCGCCUCCCUCCGCAACAAUCCUCCCUGCCGCACACUUCCCUAGUAUGCCCAUGUUGGGGCAACAUCCUCUUCGACCCCAAGUUCCUAUGCCGCUUUCGCAAGCACCACGAGAAACCACCUAUGCUUGGCUUCUUUGCAAGGUGUUUACUCACCGACGUGACCAUCUUCACUCCCACCCUUGACUCGCCUAACUACAUGCAUGUUACCCGCUUCCCCAUGCCACACAGCCACAAUAGCUACAAGCAGUUGCGCUUCCAGGGUUGCCGCCAUGGCGAAUGGCGACAUGACAUAGUGGAGGGCCGCCGGUACCCACUACAGGAAUAG